ACCUGUGUGGCUCAGUCGGUUAAGCGUCUGACUUUGGCUCAGGUCAUGAUUUCACAGUUCGUGAGUUUGAGCCCCACCUUGGGCU
Molecule: transfer RNA, 85 nt
Filed under: Felis catus (domestic cat)
Lineage: Eukaryota; Metazoa; Chordata; Mammalia; Carnivora; Felidae
Also listed under: 4 other names
Rfam family: tRNA
About the family: Transfer RNA (tRNA) molecules are approximately 80 nucleotides in length. Their secondary structure includes four short double-helical elements and three loops (D, anti-codon, and T loops). Further hydrogen bonds mediate the characteristic L-shaped molecular structure. tRNAs have two regions of fundamental functional importance: the anti-codon, which is responsible for specific mRNA codon recognition, and the 3' end, to which the tRNAs corresponding amino acid is attached (by aminoacyl-tRNA synthetases). tRNAs cope with the degeneracy of the genetic code in two manners: having more than one tRNA (with a specific anti-codon) for a particular amino acid; and 'wobble' base-pairing, i.e. permitting non-standard base-pairing at the 3rd anti-codon position.
Source: Rfam by way of RNAcentral